UACGGAAGGCAGCAGUGGGGAAUAUUGCACAAUGGGCGCAAGCCUGAUGCAGCCAUGCCGCGUGUAUGAAGAAGGCCUUCGGGUUGUAAAGUACUUUCAGUCGUGAGGAAGGUGUUAAGGUUAAUAACCUUAGCAAUUGACGUUAGCGACAGAAGAAGCACCGGCUAACUCCGUGCCAGCAGCCGCGGUAAUACGGAGGGUGCGAGCGUUAAUCGGAAUUACUGGGCGUAAAGGGCACGCAGGCGGUUAAUUAAGUUGGAUGUGAAAUCCCCGGGCUUAACCUGGGAAUGGCAUUCAAGACUGGUUAGCUAGAGUCUUGUAGAGGGGGUAGAAUUCCAUGUGUAGCGGUGAAAUGCGUAGAGAUGUGGAGGAAUACCGGUGGCGAAGGCGGCCUCCUGGGACAAAGACUGACGCUCAUGUGCGAAAGCGUGGGGAGCAAACAGGAUUAGGAUACC
RNAcentral lists this ribosomal RNA (455 nucleotides) under uncultured bacterium. RNAcentral's name for it is "bacterial SSU rRNA". It matches the Rfam family "Bacterial small subunit ribosomal RNA", at positions 340 to 786 of the family's 1533-position model. The record is from RNAcentral.